Long non-coding RNA from Gossypium arboreum, 580 nucleotides. RefSeq lists it as uncharacterized. The transcript has 2 exons. Lineage: Eukaryota; Viridiplantae; Streptophyta; Magnoliopsida; Malvales; Malvaceae. The record is from RefSeq and is a predicted model, not a curated record.
ACAUAAAAGCCGAAUUAAUAAGGUGAUUUAUCUAGUGGGUUAGGUAUCCAACCCAAUUAUCUAAGGGUGCAUUUGUUUGCAAGGAUUUGAAUUUCCGGAAAAUAUUUUUCUGAUUUUACAGUGUUUAGUUGCUUGAAAUUAAAUUACAUGAUUAAAAGAUUUUCCAAAACACGGUAAAUUAUAUGAGUUUUUUUAGGGAAAAUGUCUUACAGAUUUUUAAUCGGUAAGACAUUUUCUGGAAAAUCUUCCUCCACUCUCACCAUUCGCUCUUCAUCCGUUCUGUAAGAUUUUCCAAAAAAAUGAUUGGCUCAUCCAGGAGGACCUGUUUAAUAACUCUUUUAUUCAUCCCUUCUUCAUCUGUUCAGUAAGAUUGGCUGUCAAUAAUGCUUAAAGCUACUGUCUUUCAAAGUACUCUUUUAUUCAUUUCUUUUUCUUCUCUACUUUUGAUCUGUUUAAGUUUUCUUUAAUAUGAUUUUUUUUUUGAAUUUUUGCUUAAUUUUGCAUUACAGACCUGAUCUAGUUCAUAGAAAAAUUAUUUGUGUGCUAAAAUUUGACCUUUUUUUUUAGCUAGUUUGUCAAA